AAGGCCGGCAAUAAAGGGUGAUAGCCCCGUAUCUGAAACGGUAAGUGUUGUGAACUCGAAGAGUAGGGCGGGACACGUGUUAUCCUGUCUGAAUAUGGGAGGACCAUCCUCCAAGGCUAAAUACUCCUGACUGACCGAUAGUGAACCAGUACCGUGAGGGAAAGGCGAAAAGAACCCCGGCGAGAGGAAUGAAAUAGAACCUGAAACCGUGUACGUACAAGCAGUGGGAGCACCCGAAAGGGUGUGACUGCGUACCUUUUGUAUAAUGGGUCAGCGACUUAUAUUCUG
Molecule: ribosomal RNA, 288 nt
Filed under: Arsenophonus endosymbiont of Bemisia tabaci Asia II 3
Lineage: Bacteria; Pseudomonadati; Pseudomonadota; Gammaproteobacteria; Enterobacterales; Morganellaceae
Description: partial 23S ribosomal RNA
Rfam family: Bacterial large subunit ribosomal RNA
Source: RNAcentral